AUUGAACGCUGGCGGCAUGCCUUACACAUGCAAGUCGAACGGCAGCAUAGUAGCUUGCUCCUGGAGGCGAGUGGCGAACGGGUGAGUAAUAUAUCGGAAGGUGCCCUAGAGUGGGGGAUAGCUAGUCGAAAGGCUAGCUAAUACCGCAUACGAUCUACGGACGAAAGUGGGGGAUCGCUAGACCUCAUGCUCCAGGAGCGGCCGAUAUCUGAUUUGCUAGUUGGUGGGGUAAAAGCUCACCAAGGCGACGGUCAGUAGCUGGUCUGAGAGGACGACCAGCCACACUGGGACUGCGACACGGCCCAGACUCCUACGGGAGGCAGCAGUGGGGAAUUUUGGACAAUGGGGGCAACCCUGAUCCAGCAAUGCCGCGUGAGUGAAGAAGGCCUUCGGGUUGUAAAGCUCUUUUGUCAGGGAAGAAACGGUUCUGGAUAAUACCUGGGACUAAUGACGGUACCUGAAGAAUAAGCACCGGCUAACUACGUGCCAGCCGCCGCCGUAA
This 502-nucleotide ribosomal RNA is filed under the name uncultured bacterium. RNAcentral's name for it is "partial 16S ribosomal RNA". It matches the Rfam family "Bacterial small subunit ribosomal RNA", at positions 30 to 523 of the family's 1533-position model. The record is from RNAcentral.